ACUUUGGGGAAGGAGGUUACCAAUCUGGUUUGGGGUAUCCGGUGCGGAAAUCGCAUCCUGGUAGUGGUGGAUUGUUGUGGGUCUUUUCUUGAUCCGAGCAGCGAGGUGAAUUUCCAGCAGGUGCUCCAUCGACAAAUUUACGACGAAGUAUACGAAUUUGGGUGAGUUUGGAUUGAGGACUUUGACGCGGACGAGCACUUCGACACAGAGGUCAUUUAG
This is a long non-coding RNA of Zingiber officinale, 219 nucleotides long. RefSeq lists it as uncharacterized. The record is from RefSeq and is a predicted model, not a curated record. Lineage: Eukaryota; Viridiplantae; Streptophyta; Magnoliopsida; Zingiberales; Zingiberaceae. The transcript is spliced from 3 exons.